GGUUCCAUGGUGUAAUGGCGAGCACUCUGGACUCUGAAUCCAGCAAUCCGAGUUCAAGUCUCCGUGGAAUCU
RNAcentral lists this transfer RNA (72 nucleotides) under Loxodonta africana (African savanna elephant). Its description in RNAcentral is "tRNA-Gln (CTG) (tRNA-Gln-CTG-18-1)". It matches the Rfam family "tRNA". From Rfam's summary of the family: Transfer RNA (tRNA) molecules are approximately 80 nucleotides in length. Lineage: Eukaryota; Metazoa; Chordata; Mammalia; Proboscidea; Elephantidae. The record is from Rfam by way of RNAcentral.